This is an RNA transcript of Salvia miltiorrhiza (redroot sage), 6144 nucleotides long. RefSeq lists it as uncharacterized. The transcript has 6 exons. The record is from RefSeq and is a predicted model, not a curated record. Lineage: Eukaryota; Viridiplantae; Streptophyta; Magnoliopsida; Lamiales; Lamiaceae.
AAAAUAGACCGCUACGCUUAUGCCGAGUCGUCACGACAUCGUUUUUCCUUUUCUUCUCUUUCCCUCCCCUCCCCCUUUCUCUCUCUAUACGUACAGCCUCCUAUCUCUAUAUCUCGCCGCUUUCUCUCUCUCAAACCUCUCGCUGUGUCUUUGAUUGGGAAAAACUCCGCAGGUUACGGGAUCCGGGAAUAGAAGCCCUAGAAAUGAAAUAAAGCGGAAUAAAUAGGGGCUUUUGCGAAUUGGACCGAUCUAGGGUUUUUUCAGUGGUUUGAUCGGGAAAUUAGGAUCGUUUUUUAUUUUCUUGACAUAUUAGGGUUUUAAAAAGGUAACCUACAGUUUCUGGGGAUUGUGAAUGAGAUAUAGGUAUUGGCUAGGAGUUGGCGAUUUUGAUUGAGGUGUACAUUUGAGGGCGAAUCGGCAGAAUUUGACGCCUGAAUUUGGGGAAAAUGCAAAAACCAUUGCUUUAUUAUGCAUGGGAGGGUUCAGCGGGACAGCGAGAGCUGUAAGAGUUUGCGGAGGAGUAAUAGUCAGCACAUGCGGCCAGUCCUUCCAUCGGCGACAACUGUAACUGCCGCAGGUGAUAAUCAUUCUCCUAUUGCUUCUUCCAUCACGACCUCCACCACUGGCGGUUCUUUCUUCAAGGACGGUCGCAAAUUUACUGUUGGUGAUUGUGCUCUUUUCAAGCCACCUAAAAAUUCCCCUCCGUCCAUUGGAUUAAUUCGCUGGUUGGCAUUUGACAAAGAAAAUAUAUUGAAGUUAGGUGUGAAUUGGCUUUAUCGAUCAUCUGAACUGAAGCUGGGAAAAGGCCAUCUGUUGGACACUGCACCCAACGAAAUUUUCUAUUCCUUUCACAAGGACGAAACUUCUGCUGCAUAUCUACUCCAUCCAUGCAAAGUUGCAUUUCUUCCUAGAGGUGUAGAACUUCCUGUGGGGACAGCUGCCUUUGUUUGUCGACGAGCCUAUGACAUUUCAAACAAGCGUCUGUGGUGGCUAACAGAUCAAGAUUGCAUUAAUGAGCAGCAAGAAGAGGUAGAUAAGCUUUUAUUCAAAACUAAGACAGAGAUGCAUGUGACACUGCAGCCUGGUGGUCGUUCCCCAAAGCAAGUUAAUGGUCCAACUUCAACUUCACAACUUAAAUCUGCUCCUGAUGGUGGUCAAAAUAAUGGGAAUUCUUUUCAUUCUCAAGCCAGGGGUAAGAAGAGGGAAAGAGGUGACCAUGGUGCAGAUCCUAUCAAACGAGAACGUUCUUCAUCAAGGAUUGAUGAUUGUGAUCUAGUUCAGUGCAAAACUGAAAGUAGUUUGAAAAAUGAGAUUGCUCGCAUAACAGAAAAAGGUGGAGUUGUUGAUUUGGAAGGGGUUGAUAAGCUCAUCCAGUUGAUGCAACUGGAUGGAAUUGAUAAAAAAAUGGACUUGGUAAAUGGAAUGGAGAGAAAAAUAGAUUUGGCAGGCCGUUCCAUGCUUACCAGUGUAAUGGCUUCCACUGAGAAGGUUGACUGCCUCAAUCGGUUUGUGCAACUCAAGGGUUUACCUGUUUUGGAUGAAUGGUUACAGGAUAUUCAGAAAGGGAAAGUCGUGGAUUGUAGUAAUCCAAAGGAUAGUGAUAAAUACGUGGAAGAAUUUCUGUUGAUUUUACUUCGUGCACUAGAUAAACUGCCAGUUAAUCUUCAUGCCCUGCAAAUGUGCAACAUUGGCAGAUCCGUGAAUCAUUUACGAUCACAUAAAAAUGUAGAAAUUCAGAGAAAAGCACGAACUUUAGUCGACACAUGGAAGAAACGUGUUGAAGCUGAAAUGAACAUGAUUGAUGCAAAGUCUGGUUCAACCCAAGCCACAGCUGCGUGGCCUUCCAAAUCACGUCUCCCAGAGGCUUCUCAUGGUGGAAGCAAAACCCCUAGUGGGUCUGAUAUUGCCAUGAAAAGCUCAAUUUCUCAGAAUUCUGCUGCCAAAACUACUUCACUUAGAUAUUUAAAUGGGGAAAAUGUCUUAAAGUAUGCAUCCUCUUCGCCUGGGGCUGUGAAAUCUGCUACGUUGAUUGCUUCUGGAAAGGAUAGCCAACCCAACACUUCUGUUGGAGGCAGUGCUGAUGCUCCUCAGAUUAGGGAGGAUAGAAGCAGUAGUUCUAAUCAGUCUCAUAGUUACGGUCAGUCUAUCUCGGUGAAGGAUGAUAUGAAAAGCUUCACUUCGGGUUCAGUGACUGUUAAUAAGACUUCAAGUAGUAGUACUCGUAAUCGAAAACUUAGUGGUUCUUCAGGGGUAUCAGCAUCUGGAAAUCAGAAAGAGAACAGCUCCAGCAAAGUUUCUUCAGCACACAAAAAUACUGCUUUAGAGAAAUUGUCUCAGACCUCAUUAACAAAUGAGAGGGUUGUUGAGGGGCCCAUCAACGAAGGGAGCAGUCAUAAACUAAUUGUUAAGAUAGGAAACAGAGUAAGAAGUCCUGCCCAAGGUAUGAAUGGAGGAUCUCUGGAAGAUCCUACCAUAAAGAGCAGCCGAGCUUCUUCUCCUGUGCUUAUGAACAAAAGCGAGCAGUUUGAUCAUGCUUCAAAGGACAAGAGUGAUACACAUCGUUGCAUUAUUGCUUCAGGUACAGAUGCAUGGCAAUAUAAAGAUCCAAAAGUUGAAUUGACUGAAACGGACGGUGGUCAGUCAUCUGCUGUUCUUCCUGGUGAGGAGCAAGGCAUGGCCACUGAAGACUGCAAGAGAAUAGUAGAGGGACUUCCAACAAACCAAUUAAAUUCAGAAAAAUUACACAAAUCUUCUUUUAGCCCUAUGAAUGCAUUAAUUGAGAGUUGUGCAAAGUAUUCUGAAGCAGCUUCCUCCUUAUCACUUGAAGAUGAUGUUGGAAUGAACUUACUUGCUAGCGUGGCAGCUGGAGAAAUGUCUAGAUCUGAUGUUAUUUCUCCUGCUGAUUCUAUGGAAAAAAGUGCUCAUGCGGUCGAGGAAGUUUGUGCUGGUGAUGAAGCAAAAUCCAAGUCUACCCCUGAGGAAUGCUCUUCGGUGGUGCAAAAACAGUUCAGUGAAUCUGACUGUGCUGGAAAGAAACAGGCUGUUGCAUCACUUGAGUUUUCAGGUGAUAGAAAGUGUGUUGCUUCUCAUUCUUCUGAAGAUAUUGAUGCUGGAGAGCAAGCAAAAGAAAUUGGUUCAACUAACAUAGAUUUGAGAAGCAGUGUUGACCAUGACUUGGAGACUACUCAGAAGCCAAAUGAAAGGACGGAUACCUCCUCUUUCACACCUCCCAUCUCUGUUGAAAGGGGAAAGGAUGGUGAAUCAAAUGAAGGAGUCCACAAGGAGAAGGCUGAUAUUGAUAAUAGUUCUACUGGUAACUUGAACUGUAGAAAUGGUGGAGGGGAUGUCCUGGUAUCUGAAGAAAAAGAUGGUGAUCUUUCAAGAGUUGAUGAGUGUAAGCCAUUGGUUGAAGUUUCUGGAUCAAAGCCAUGUAAUCAAGGUGAUUGCAAUAUGGUUGUAGAUGAGGGAUUGAACAGGACAACUGAUGCAGAACAGAAGCUGACUGAUGCAACUGUUCAGUCCGAAAUUGCAGAAACAGCUGACUCUGAAAAUCUACACCAACCUGAACGUGACCAGUUACCACUGCCAGAAGGUGAUGAUGCAGAAAAAGUAGGGGAACUUAAUGAUGGGGCUGCAAAUAGUUGCAUGAGCAAGUCUGGAAGACUGAACAUUGAGAAGGAAGUGGACAAGGAGGCAGCUGAUGAAAGUCAUACUGUGUCUGAUUUGUGUUCCACAUCUCAUGAUCUCAACUGUCAUCAUAUAAAGGAUGAUGUAGAAAACCAGGUGAUUCCAAAUCAUACAUCAGUGCCUGAGAGCAGGUCUUCUGGUGCAGCAGAGCAUGAAGAUCAGGUGGAGGCUGAGUUGACCGGAUCCAAGUCUGUUAGCAUUCGGCCAGAUGAGGCUAACAAAUAUGCUCUCAGCGGUUCUGGGGCUGCUUCUCCCUCUGCUGCAGGAGAAACAGAUCCAGGUGCAAAAUUGAAGUUUGACUUGAACGAAGGGUUUUGUGCCGAUGAUGGGAAAUAUGGGGAGUCCAUGAGUUCUAGAUCCUCAGUUCCAGCAACUGUUCAAGUGAUUAACUCAUUACCAUUUUCUGUGAAGUCCAUCCCAAGUGGCCAUUCUGGCUUCAUAACUGUAGCUGCAGCUGCCAAAGGCCCAUUUGUUCCUCCAGAGGAUUUAUUGAAAAGUAGAGUGGAACUUGGAUGGAAGGGUUCUGCUGCCACCAGUGCAUUUCGACCUGCUGAACCCAGAAAAGUUCUUGAAACCUCGUCAAGUCCAACAAUUGUGUCUUGCCCUGAUGUUUCUACCAGUAAACAUGAGCGUGUCCCUUUGGAUAUUGAUCUAAAUGUCCCAGACGAAAGAGUUCUGGAGGAAAUGACUUGUCGAGGUUCUACUUUGGCUAUUGAUUCGGUAUCACCAAGUAGCCGUGGCACAUUGCUAAAUGAGCCAUCAGAUUCUCUGCGUGUUCUUGGUUCUGGUGGGCUGGAUCUUGAUUUGAACAGAGUUGAUGAUGCAAAUGAUGCUGGGCACUGCUCAACCAGCAGCAAUCCUAAAGGUGAGGCUUCCGUAUUGCAUACUAACCGGCUAGAUAGUUUACAUGUUUGGAGGGAUUUUGAUCUCAACAAUGGACCUUUAGUCGACGAUGGUAGUACUGAGGAAUUCCCAUUUAUUAAUCAGCUAGUCAGGAGUGGUACGUCUCAGUUGCCUUCUGCAAGUCUUAGAACGAACAGUUCGGUGAUGGGCAGUUUCUCAUCUUGGUUUCCUCCUGGCAAUGCGUACUCAACACUGGCAAUCCCAUCAAUGGUACCUGAGCGAGGUGAGCAACCAUUUUCAGUUUUUCCACCUGGUGCAUCCCAGAGAACAUUUGGGCCUACUGGUGUUGCUCCAUUUAAUCCUGAGGUGUUCCGUGGAUCAGUAUUAUCAUCAUCGCCUGCAGUGCCAUACCCAUCCGGUCCUUUCCAGUUACCUGUAUAUCCUUAUGGGACCUCAAUUCCUCUCCCAUCAGCCACUUUUUCUGUUGGCGCGGCCUCAUAUGUAGAUUCUUCUGCUGCAAGGCCCUUUGCAUCUCCAGUAAAUUCACAGUAUCUGGGUCCUGUUGGUUCGGUGACAUCUCCAUUUCAGAGGCCAUAUAUGGUUACCUUUCCCGACAUUAGUAAUAACAGCAUGCUAGAGAGCAACAGACAGUGGAGCAGACAGGGUCUGGACCUUAAUUCAGGCCCUGGAGCUGUAGAAAGUGAUGUUAGAGAGGAGAUGUUGCCUCUUUCGUCAGGCCAGCAUUCUGUUGCCACUUCGCAAGGUUUAGCGGAGGAGCAGGCUAGGAUUUUUUCUGUUUCAGGCGGUAUUUUGAAAAGGAAGGAGCCUGAUGGAGGCUGGGAAAAUGAGACAUUCAGACGCAAGCAGUCUUCAUGGCAGUAGAGUAUAAACAUCUGCAACAUAACAAUUCGUAGGAUCCUGGAAUGGAGGAGGCUGUCAAUGUUGUGAGGUGAAGUGCUGAUUCUCAUCAACUUUGCUGUAACUGUAGUUCUGAAGCCAAUUUACUAUCAUCUUGAUGGAUUUUUCUUCAGAGGACGGAUGGCUUGUUAGUAGAUCUCUUAUGUCUUAGUCCUGCCCUCACCUCUUCUGCUUGACUGACUGCAAUAUUCCAUAGCAUUGGGGUGGACUUUUUGUGGGCGGCAUAUACUCAUGCCUACUGUAGAUAUUCUUACUGCAAAAAACCAAAAAAAAGAAACAUAAACUUCUGGUGCCUAGGCACUGAAGGUCGUAAAUUAAAGUAGUUUUUGGUGCGACAUCCUAACCCUUCUGAGGAGGCUGAUCUUAGCACCGAUGGAAUUGAAGCCCUUCGGAAUUUCGACUUGCCUUAUUUUUUUCGCUUGUUAACAUCUUCAUCCUUAUUUUCCCCAUAUACAUAUAUAUGUAUGUGUGGGGUUCAUCGUAAUUAUGUUACAAUUUUUUAUUAUCUUGCGCCUCGUUCUAGUAGUGAUGGCUAUGGUAUUGUGAGUCUGUACUUUACCUUUUCAUCGUAGUGCAGUCAUACUCAAAUACCUGUCAUCUAUGUGCCGAUGAAGAAAUUUUGAUUGCAAUCAUGUGAUGAUUUUACAUCGGAUGCUGGGAUUACAGAUGAAUACAAAUGAUUAUACUCUUCCAUAA